This 800-nucleotide ribosomal RNA is filed under the name Modisimus pavidus. Its description in RNAcentral is "partial 28S ribosomal RNA". It matches the Rfam family "Eukaryotic large subunit ribosomal RNA", at positions 355 to 906 of the family's 3401-position model. The record is from RNAcentral. Lineage: Eukaryota; Metazoa; Arthropoda; Arachnida; Araneae; Pholcidae.
GAGGGAAAGUUGCAAAGAACUUUGAAGAGAGAGUUCAAGAGUACGUGAAACUGCUCAGAGGCAAACGGGUGGGCCCUCGAAAUCCUUUUGCGGAGGGAUUCAGUCGGGAGCGCGGGAAGCGGACGGACGCCGGACCCUCGUGUAGGGCUUGCGCGACCGACCCGUGGUUUCUCGCGUGCCCGACGCACUUCCCCCCGCACCGAGGACGCCGCGACCGAUCGGGAGCCGGCCUUAGGGCGGUCCCAGGAGGUGACCGGGGAUCGACGCAUUCGUGCCCGGUCCUCGGUUUUUAACGGAGCCGUGCUUGGCGCGGCACCCGAUCGAGGUCAAAGUUCCCCCUACGGGGAACAGCCGUCUCCUGCCGACUCCGGCAGCGGAGCAUCGGGCCAGUGUGCACCGUCUCGGUCGAACCACUACUAGCGAGUGGCCGGCCGGACGGGAUGCCGUCGUUGGGCUCGAGCGACCGCGGAGGGAAGCAAGAGUGGUCGGCGGCGAGUAGGUCGGUCACCCACCCGACCCGUCUUGAAACACGGACCAAGGAGUCUAACAUGUGCGCGAGUCGCAGGGUCUUGCCCAGGCCCUCGGGCGCAAUGAAAGUGAAGGUUCCCUCGCGGAACCGAGUCGGGACUCCCGUCUUCGGGCGGGAAGCACCGACGACCCGUCCCCUCCGAUCCGUCGGUUGGGCGGAGUUCGAGCGUACACGUUGGGACCCGAAAGAUGGUGAACUAUGCCUGGGCAGAACGAAGCCGAGGAAACUCUGGUGGAGGUUCGUAGCGGUUCUGACGUGCAAAUCGAUCGUC